GGCACGAUAGCCAAGUGGUUACGGCGACAGAUUAGCAAUCUGUUCCUCUUUGAGGGCGCAGGUUCAAAUCCUGCUCCUGUCG
This 82-nucleotide transfer RNA is filed under the name Coprinellus micaceus. It matches the Rfam family "tRNA". Rfam says of the family: Transfer RNA (tRNA) molecules are approximately 80 nucleotides in length. Their secondary structure includes four short double-helical elements and three loops (D, anti-codon, and T loops). The record is from Rfam by way of RNAcentral. Lineage: Eukaryota; Fungi; Basidiomycota; Agaricomycetes; Agaricales; Psathyrellaceae.